CCCGCUAUGGUGAAAUCGGU
Molecule: transfer RNA, 20 nt
Filed under: Heptapleurum actinophyllum
Lineage: Eukaryota; Viridiplantae; Streptophyta; Magnoliopsida; Apiales; Araliaceae
Also listed under: 1 other name
Description: Schefflera actinophylla partial tRNA-Leu
Source: RNAcentral